Long non-coding RNA from Apus apus (common swift), 390 nucleotides. RefSeq lists it as uncharacterized. The transcript has 4 exons. Lineage: Eukaryota; Metazoa; Chordata; Aves; Apodiformes; Apodidae. The record is from RefSeq and is a predicted model, not a curated record.
AAUACUUUUUCAGAUUUGGUGUGAAAGGAGUAGCAACAAAGAUGGAGGAGGAGAGCUGAGCGCUGUGAGAAGGUGGAAGCAGAGAGCAAAGCAGAUUAAUGUCCUCAGAGGUGCCCCCCAGACCUGACAGCAGCCACUCCAAAUGAUGGAGGUGGUACAGGUACCACACCCAGGUCAAGCUGUAAAGAGCCACCUCUAGGACAGAAGUGCCAGCAUCUGACCUCUGAGGAGCCCGAGGCUAGGACCGCAUCCAGCCACACCUAGGCUCCUCUCUGAGAAGGAGUUUAGAAAGCAAGGAGGUCAGGUCCCAACCUCGGCACUUGGCAGGAGAUCCAGACAUCCCUCUUAAAUGCUUUAGUGGGACAAAGCAGCCCCCAGGGGAGCAUAUAG